CUGGCGUCUCCUCCGACCCAAAGGAGAGCUGUGGUGUAUGUGAGUGCGAGUGAGCGAGGCAGAGGCGGAGAAACUACGCGGUGUGGCUGCAGGUGGAGCCUUGGACCAACUGGCCAGCGCCGCUUCCUUCCACCAGGAUUCCUGGCCCCACCGCGCGCUAGGCGGAGGCUCAGCGGGGGCGACUCUGGCUGGAGCCCAGCCCUCACCUCCCCCACCCCCACAUCUGCUCUAGCUAGGAAAAAAAAAAAGAAAAAAAAAAUCCCGGACAGCAUUGCUGAGUCCUGCCAAAUCAGAAAAAUAAAUAAAAAUAGACGUAGUGCAGGAGCGAGUUACAAGAAAGGUUUUGUUCAUCGAUUUUCUUAAAUGGAAAAGUUUUAAAGGAUGAGGGUAAGUGAACGGCGAGCUUUUCUGAUUCUGAUUACUGUUAUCAAGAGGUAGAUUCCAGAAGCGAUGGACGCUCUACGUAGUUAGAUGAAUUGGAUAGAAGCCGGUGCGGUUAAAAAUACACUUGGAAGAUAAGAACACAGCUAUUAAUUACGCACAUACACACGUUAAUAAAGCAUGUGAAGUAAGCAAAUAAACUACAGUGCAGAGAAUGGCGUUUUUAACGACGGCGAUCUAUUUUAAAACUUAAUGAAGUUCACAUUUUGUGGACUGGUCUUAGAAAUAAGUAAACUUCAGAAAUAACACGCAUACAAUUCCAGUGAGAACCCAAAAGGUUUAUGGAAGAAGAAAAUCGCAACCACUUCCAAGGCGCUAUUGUUAUGAUCACAUGAAGAAUGGCAGGCACAGCCUUCUUUCACCACUUGAACUUUCAAUAGCUACAAAGUCUUGCAGUUACAGGCUUGUGCCAACUCGUCGGGCCACACCACGUUCCCCUCCCCCUGCCGCUGCGCCCCGAAAUCAACUGCGCGCCGCGGCUCUUGCUCCCCAAGGGGGCUUCGCAGAUGGUACGGAUCCUAGUCGCAACCUUUAAACAAAGUAACAUCGGGCGGCCCAGCAGUUCUCGGAGAGAUAUUUACUAGUCAUGGAGUUGGCUGAGAAAAGCAAGUGCGGAGAUCGGGGUCUCAGUCCCACUUAGGCCGAGUUUCUUUAUAUUGGAAACUGUACCUGUUCCCUAAUUGGGACUAAGACCACUAAUAAGUCCACGUUCCCUCUUUGGUCGCUUCUCUAAGUACAGACAUCUGCUUAAGAGGCUUCACGAAGAAUAAAUGCACAUGGGUCAACACCCAUUCCCCCCGCACCACUACCACCACCUGGAAAAGGGAGGAAAGUCCAUGUGAAGACACAGUGAGAAGGCAAGAAGGCAUCCAUCUGCAAGUCAGGAAAAGAGCCCUCAUCAGAAACCAAAUGUUGUGAGAACUUGAUCUUGGACUUCCCAGCCUCCAGAACUGUCUCACAUGAAGGAAGAUGUUCACCCUGAGGACAAGGCCCCUGCAUGCAUUCUCAGGACGUUCAUGUUUUCUUUACCCAUUCCCUUCCAUUCAAAUAGCUCUUGUCAGCGACCCAUUUUGUGAAUGGAGACAUUUCUGCUUUGAAGUCAUAAUUUAUCCUGCAAGAGCUGCUAAAAGAAGCACUUUUAAACUCAGAUCUGAGCGAAGGCUGGGAAUUGGUUGUUGCAAGUAGAAAAUGAGUCACAGAUGUACAAAGACAUUAGAAGGCUGCCUGCAACAUAGAAGCAAAAUGCUCCAGGAGGCUGACCUGAAUGACAUACAUCAGUGAACUCCUUUGGCCUCUGUCAGACCCACCAAAUCAGAAAAUCUUACACUCCUACAAGAAAUUCAUGCCUUGUAGGAACAUAGACCAAUACUGAGCCACUGAUUCAGCACAUCCUCUGUGGAGACCAACCAGCCACUUGGUGGCAAGAGAUUACAUUGGAACCCUCUCAUCUCAGAAGGAGCAGUGCUUCGUGUUGACUGAAUCAACAUGUGCACCAGAUACAAGACUCCCUUUUCUGCCUGGAAUAAUCUGCCAGUAUGACUCUCAAAAGGCUUAACUCACGGACAUAGGAUCCCAUGUAGCACUGCAUUGGAUUGAGAGAUAGAGAACUCAGUUAAAAACAAGGAGGUGUGGCAGUGGGCCCUUGACUAUGGUAUCCCCUGGCCUUAUCACAUCCUAUGUCACUCAGAAGUUGAGAUCUGAAAGAGUGAAAAAAAAGCUGCUUACUAGCCACUGAGGACCCAGCUUGGAGAUGAUAAGCUGUGAAGAUGGGCGCUGUUCUCCAGACAUAAUAUAUAUGUCCUAAAUCAACAACCUUUCCCUAGAGCUGUGUCCCCAGUAGAUAGCAAGUGCGAGUCUGGAAAUCAAAGAGUAGAAAUAGGCAUAGCUCGGCUUAUAUCACUUCAAGUGACCAAUGUAGGGAAUUUAUGCUUCUUACUACACUCCCAGGCUUUUGUGGUUUAGAAGUCCUAGUUUCUAAAGGGAGAACAUUUCCACCAGGAAACUCAGCAGGAGACCCAUUAAGCUUUAAGCUAUGCUUACUGAAUGUCGCUCAUGCCAAAGCCUAUCAGAAAAGGGAAAUAGCCUUCAUCCCAGCAGGAGUAAUGGGCCCUGAUGAUCAGGAGGAGGUGGGGCUGCUGUUACUCCCUGGGAUUCUCUUGGAACCCUCUUGCCUAAUUUCAACAAAAAAUGGACAAAUGCAGUGGUCAUGGCCUGAGAAAGGCUCAGAUCUUACUGUUGAAGGUGGAGGUGUCCCCAACAGGUAAGCCUCUUAGACCAUCAGAGGUGUUAGCCAAGGGUGAGGAGAAUCUAGAAUGAGUAGGGGAGGAGAGAAAUGAUGUGUGUAGUUACCUUGAAACUGCAGCAUGGGAGUUGGGGGGGUUCUGGGGCUAUAAUUCCUGUCACUGGCCUUCCUCUUGUUAAGUUUACCUAGGAAAACAGGCCAGCGAGAAUCUUGGAGGGGCUGUUCCCAAGUUUUGCUAUAAAAUGAAAGUGAAUCCAAGUGGCCUGGGGCUGAAUCUGAGUUCAUGCUGUGGGCACUGCCCAGAUGCCUUGUCAGAGCUAAGAUCAUUCUCCCAGCUACUGAGAGUGUGGGUAACCUGUGAUGCUUAGCUGAGUCCCUCUCCAGGAAUUGCCUUUAGCAAAAAAUGAGCCACCUCUCUUCACCCAGACCACACUCCCCUCCCCAGGGAAUGUACAGCCCAAUUCAGUGUGUGGUCAGUGCAGAAGCAGAAAGGCUCAAUUUGCCUGCAUCUAGUGAGACAUCUAGGAGGGUUCAUCCUACUCCCUGAACUCCCCAUGGGGUUGACUGAGGCCUUCGUCACAACUUCAUUGCAGUUCAUACCUCCCUUUGCCCCAUCCCACUUCUUUCAUUCUGCAUGGGCAUCGAUCUUGAUCGAGGCCACUCCCCAGAACACUCCCUGCCUGCAUGUCUCUCUCAGGAGUCUGCUGCCUGGGGGUUGGAUUUAAGACACAUGCUGGUCUUCCCCUAGGAGUAAUUUCCCUGUCCACACUUUUGAUCAAAUUUCCUUGAAUUAUCUUAAUUUGAGUGUGCCCUCUGAAUUUUGAUGGGAUCUGGACUGACGGGGCAGGGUAUUGGGCUAGGGACAUGACUGGCAGGUAAGUCUGCCUAAUUCUGAGGCUCAGUAUUAGUAGGACUCUUUACUGACACAUGGAAUUUGUAUUCUCAAACGUACCAAAAUCAGCUUACUAAAGAUAUUUUGGUCUCCACCUUAAUUCUUUGUUUGUUAAAAGUAAUGGCAAAAACCACAAUUCCUUUUGUACCGACCUAAUCAACUAUUCAGAACCUGAAUGGAAGCCACUCCUUGGUGGUUCCCUUAGAAACCUCAGCCCCAUCCAGAGCCCUUGUAUCAGAUUUGGAUGGAAAGGGCAUGUGUUUAGCCCGUUCAAGGGUGACUUUUAGACAGUCCUCUCUCUCUCUCUGUGUGUGUGUGUGUGUGUGUGUGUGUGUGUGUGUGUGUGUGUGUGUAGGUUCAGCCUUUUCUCACUAAGACAGUUAUUUUCACCCAUAGGCAGGCACCCUGAUGGGAGAGGCAGGAUGAAUGGAUCUCUUUGAUACUCAAAGUUUUUUAAGCCAUUGAUGUGUUAUGUGUCUAAAAUAAUAUUCUUUUUUGAAAAAUUAUUGUUUCAUGAUAUGAUUAAUAAAUUAUUUUCUUUGUUAAAUAUCGAUUAAAAAUUAUAUUAAUAAUUAUGUUAAUAAUUAAGAAUUAUAGAUAAGGAUAAAAUUCCUUUUGACUGUUACAGCAGUCCACUCCCAAGAGAAUAAACUGUUACCUUCCAGACCUUUUCAAAAUUGACAGGAUCUAUUUAAAGUCCUGUAUUUUAUUUGACCAGAAAAUUCUAUUUUUCAGAUGUUACAUUUAAGAAAACUUCUUGAAUGUACAUGACAAAGAAUGAACAAGCAUAUUUAUUGCAACAUUGUUUAUAAUAGCAAUAAAGGUAAGCAACUUAAUAGGGGACUAAAUAAAUUGUGGUAUAUUUUUACAAUGACAGAGUAUACAGUAGUAAAAACAGUGAGGUGGAGCCCUAAGUGCUAACUUGGAAAAAGCUUCAGGAAAUAUCACUGAGUGAAAAAGGAGAUUGCAGAAUGAUAAAUGUAAUGUGAUGCAUUUUAUCAGGGCUAUUUAGGAAAAUUAUGGCCUAAUAGAAAUGACCUGGGCUGAGUGAGAGGAGCAGAAAUGGGGAGAGUGAUUAUUGCCCCUCGCUUGCUUUGCCUCCUUUAGCCAUUUCUUCCUGUUCUCUCAAUCAUUCUUUCCCCUCUUUCACUCCACAUUCUUUCCUUUCUUCAUCACUUCUUUUCAUAGUUAAAAUUGAAGCCAAGUCUACCCUCUAGGAAUUGUAUGUGUUUGUGCUCAUUAACAACCAGUUGAACUCUGUUGAUUAGCAAUAUGGUCAAUCCAAACUGGUUGUUAAAGUGUCAAAAUAAAUGGAUCCAAUACCUGCACCCGGGCUCACAUGAUCUCGUUGAUGAAUAAUUAAUAUAGCCUCAAUAUGAUGCAUUAUAUGGAAACCUGCCUGCUUUGGCUACUGUGAAAGCUUAAAAAUAAACCAACCACUUGACAAAGUUACAAAAAAAUAUAUAAAAAAGAAAUUUGCAGUAUGGGUUGAAUGAAUAAUAAAUAUAUAGUGUUUGCAUUAAAGAAAGUACCAGUGGCAUUGUACUUUGUGUUAUUAUUAGAGUGUGUAGAUUAUUUGAUUUGAAGAAUUCUAGUUUAAUGACUUCCUUUUGCACUGAAGGAAAUAGUGGCCCAGGGAAGUAAGGUCGUAAAGCAGGCCUGUUCAGUGGUCUUCCGGUAACACACUUUGUAGGUAAUAGAGAUGGUCAUUCUCCUUUCCUUUCGGAA
RNAcentral lists this long non-coding RNA (5303 nucleotides) under Homo sapiens (human). Its description in RNAcentral is "HSALNT0328959". The record is from RNAcentral. Lineage: Eukaryota; Metazoa; Chordata; Mammalia; Primates; Hominidae.